GAUGAACGCUGGCGGCGUGCCUAAUACAUGCCAGUCGAGCGAACAGACGAGGAGCUUGCUCCUCUGACGUUAGCGGCGGACGGGUGAGUACACGUGGAUAACCUACCUAUAAGACUGGGAUAACUUCGGGAAACCGGAGCUAAUACCGGAUAAUAUAUUGAACCGCAUGGUUCAAUAGUGAAAGACGGUUUUGCUGUCACUUAUAGAUGGAUCCGCGCCGCAUUAGCUAGUUGGUAAGGUAACGGCUUACCAAGGCAACGAUGCGUAGCCGACCUGAGAGGGUGAUCGGCCACACUGGAACUGAGACACGGUCCAGACUCCUACGGGAGGCAGCAGUAGGGAAUCUUCCGCAAUGGGCGAAAGCCUGACGGAGCAACGCCGCGUGAGUGAUGAAGGUCUUCGGAUCGUAAAACUCUGUUAUUAGGGAAGAACAAAUGUGUAAGUAACUAUGCACGUCUUGACGGUACCUAAUCAGAAAGCCACGGCUAACUACGUG
This 496-nucleotide ribosomal RNA is filed under the name uncultured bacterium. RNAcentral's name for it is "partial 16S ribosomal RNA". It matches the Rfam family "Bacterial small subunit ribosomal RNA", at positions 28 to 507 of the family's 1533-position model. The record is from RNAcentral.